UCAGCCAAAGAGAGCACUAGACUUGGAGUUAAGCAGUCGAGAUUCAGCUCAAAAGAUGCCUAUUCCCCUGCCCCUCCUCAACCUCCACUCUUGUGAACAGUGAAAUCAUCUGGGAAACGCAAGGCAGCAUAGCUGGUAGAAACGGACAACGACAAUGCGAAAUUCAAAUGAGCGCAAGUGCCCUAGGAGACAGGAGGAGCCUGUUGAGGAUAGCAUAGCUCUGCGUCAUCUCACAGAGGGU
Molecule: long non-coding RNA, 241 nt
Organism: Tupaia belangeri chinensis (Chinese tree shrew)
Lineage: Eukaryota; Metazoa; Chordata; Mammalia; Scandentia; Tupaiidae
Exons: 3
Source: RefSeq, a predicted model, not a curated record